AGACCCGAAACCCGGUGAUCUAGCCAUGGGCAGGUUGAAGGUUGGGUAACACUAACUGGAGGACCGAACCGACUAAUGUUGAAAAAUUAGCGGAUGACCUGUGGCUGGGGGUGAAAGGCCAAUCAAACCGGGAGAUAGCUGGUUCUCCCCGAAAGCUAUUUAGGUAGCGCCUCGUGAAUUCAUCUCCGGGGGUAGAGCACUGUUUCGGCUAGGGGGCCAUCCCGGCUUACCAACCCGAUGCAAACUGCGAAUACCGGAGAAUGUUAUCACGGGAGACACACGGCGGGUGCUAACGUCCGUCGUGAAGAGGGAAACAACCCAGACCGCCAGCUAAGGUCCCAAAGUCAUGGUUAAGUGGGAAACGAUGUGGGAAGGCCCAGACAGCCAGGAUGUUGGCUUAGAAGCAGCCAUCAUUUAAAGAAAGCGUAAUAGCUCACUGGUCGAGUCGGCCUGCGCGGAAGAUGUAACGGGGCUAAACCAUGCACCGAAGCUGCGGCAGCGAACGUAUCACCCAAGACAACUUUACGGAGUUGACGAUUGACGGAGCGAAGCGACGUCAAAGCGUUCAUUAAAGUCGAGUUGGCUUAGGGAUACGUUCGUUGGGUAGGGGAGCGUUCUGUAAGCCUGUGAAGGUGUGUCGUGAGGCAUGCUGGAGGUAUCAGAAGUGCGAAUGCUGACAUAAGUAACGAUAAAGCGGGUGAAAAGCCCGCUCGCCGGAAGACCAAGGGUUCCUGUCCAACGUUAAUCGGGGCAGGGUGAGUCGACCCCUAAGGCGAGGCCGAAAGGCGUAGUCGAUGGGAAACGGGUUAAUAUUCCCGUACUUGGUGUUACUGCGAAGGGGGGACGGAGAAGGCUAUGUUGGCCGGGCGACGGUUGUCCCGGUUUAAGCGUGUAGGUGUGUGUUCCAGGUAAAUCCGGUUCACUUUAACACUGAGGCGUGAUGACGAGGCACUACGGUGCUGAAGCAACAAAUGCCCUGCUUCCAGGAAAAGCCUCUAAGCAUCAGGUAACAUCAAAUCGUACCCCAAACCGACACAGGUGGUCAGGUAGAGAAUACCAAGGCGCUUGAGAGAACUCGGGUGAAGGAACUAGGCAAAAUGGUGCCGUAACUUCGGGAGAAGGCACGCUGACACGUAGGUGAAGUGAUUUACUCAUGGAGCUGAAGUCAGUCGAAGAUACCAGCUGGCUGCAACUGUUUAUUAAAAACACAGCACUGUGCAAACACGAAAGUGGACGUAUACGGUGUGACGCCUGCCCGGUGCCGGAAGGUUAAUUGAUGGGGUCAGCGCAAGCGAAGCUCCUGAUCGAAGCCCCGGUAAACGGCGGCCGUAACUAUAACGGUCCUAAGGUAGCGAAAUUCCUUGUCGGGUAAGUUCCGACCUGCACGAAUGGCGUAAUGAUGGCCAGGCUGUCUCCACCCGAGACUCAGUGAAAUUGAACUCGCUGUGAAGAUGCAGUGUACCCGCGGCAAGACGGAAAGACCCCGUGAACCUUUACUAUAGCUUGACACUGAACAUUGAGCCUUGAUGUGUAG
Molecule: ribosomal RNA, 1534 nt
Filed under: Salmonella enterica subsp. enterica
Lineage: Bacteria; Pseudomonadati; Pseudomonadota; Gammaproteobacteria; Enterobacterales; Enterobacteriaceae
Also listed under: 1 other name
Description: partial 23S ribosomal RNA
Rfam family: Bacterial large subunit ribosomal RNA
Source: RNAcentral